UGGGGAAUCUUGCGCAAUGGGCGAAAGCCUGACGCAGCCACGCCGCGUGAGGGAUGAAGGCUUUCGGGUUGUAAACCUCUUUCAGCAGGGACGAAAAUGACGGUACCUGCAGAAGAAGCUCCGGCCAACUACGUGCCAGCAGCCGCGGUAACACGUAGGGAGCAAGCGUUGUCCGGAUUUAUUGGGCGUAAAGAGCUCGUAGGCGGUUCGGUAAGUCGGGUGUGAAAACUUGAGGCUCAACCUCAAGAGGCCACUCGAUACUGCUGUGACUGGAGUCCGGUAGAGGAGUGUGGAAUUCCUGGUGUAGCGGUGAAAUGCGCAGAUAUCAGGAGGAACACCGACAGCGAAGGCAGCACUCUGGGCCGGUACUGACGCUGAGGAGCGAAAGCAUGGGGAGCGAACAGG
RNAcentral lists this ribosomal RNA (405 nucleotides) under uncultured bacterium. RNAcentral's name for it is "bacterial SSU rRNA". It matches the Rfam family "Bacterial small subunit ribosomal RNA", at positions 355 to 776 of the family's 1533-position model. The record is from RNAcentral.